Molecule: non-coding RNA, 107 nt
Filed under: Chloroflexota bacterium
Lineage: Bacteria; Bacillati; Chloroflexota
Description: Chloroflexi bacterium Glycine sequence
Rfam family: Glycine riboswitch aptamer
About the family: This family represents the bacterial glycine riboswitch. Glycine riboswitches usually consist of two metabolite-binding aptamers domains with similar structures in tandem. The aptamers cooperatively bind glycine to regulate the expression of downstream genes.
Source: RNAcentral
AAAGGGAGAAGAGGAGAGAUCCGGCUGGUUCAGCGGACACCGAAGGGGCAAGCCUGGUAAACUGCGAGCCAGGCGAAACUCUCAGGUAAAAGGACUCUCUCCCGGGA